RNAcentral lists this ribosomal RNA (1216 nucleotides) under uncultured bacterium. RNAcentral's name for it is "bacterial SSU rRNA". It matches the Rfam family "Bacterial small subunit ribosomal RNA", at positions 29 to 1243 of the family's 1533-position model. The record is from RNAcentral.
ACGAACGCUGGCGGCGUGCUUAACACAUGCAAGUCGAACGAGGUUAAGCGAAGGAAGUCUUCGGAUGGAAUUUGUUUAACCGAGUGGCGGACGGGUGAGUAACGCGUGAGGAACCUGUCUUCUACAGGGGGAUAACGGUCCGAAAGGAUUGCUAAUACCGCAUAAGACCACGGAAUCGCAUGGUUCAGGGGUCAAAGGAGAAAUCCGGUAGAAGGUGGACUCGCGUCCCAUUAGAUAGUUGGUGAGGUAACGGCCCACCAAGUCGACGAUGGGUAGCCGGCCUGAGAGGGUGACCGGCCACAUUGGAACUGAGAUACGGUCCAGACUCCUACGGGAGGCAGCAGUGGGGAAUAUUGGGCAAUGGGCGAAAGCCUGACCCAGCAACGCCGCGUGAGGGAAGAAGGUCUUCGGGUUGUAAACCUCUGUCCUUGGUGAAAAGGAAGGAUGGUAGCCAAGGAGGAAGCUCCGGCUAACUACGUGCCAGCAGCCGCGGUAAUACGUAGGGAGCGAGCGUUGUCCGGAAUGAUUGGGCGUAAAGGGCGUGUAGGCGGCCAAUUAAGUCUGAAGUGAAAUCCCUGGUUUCAAGUCAGGGUCUGCUUUGGAAACUGGUUGGCUUGAGUGCAGGAGAGGUUAUCGGAAUUCCCGGUGUAGCGGUGAAAUGCGUAGAGAUCGGGAGGAACACCAGUGGCGAAGGCGGGUAACUGGACUGUAACUGACGCUAAGGCGCGAAAGUGUGGGGAGCAAACAGGAUUAGAUACCCUGGUAGUCCACACUGUAAACGAUGAAUGCUAGGUGUAGGGGGUAUCGACCCCUUCUGUGCCGCAGUAAACACAAUAAGCAUUCCGCCUGGGGAGUACGGCCGCAAGGUUGAAACUCAAAGGAAUUGACGGGGGCCCGCACAAGCAGCGGAGCAUGUGGUUUAAUUCGACGCAACGCGAAGAACCUUACCAGGUCUUGACAUCCAAUAAAAGCAUCAGAGAUGAUGUGUGUGCUUGCACAUAUUGAGACAGGUGGUGCAUGGUUGUCGUCAGCUCGUGUCGUGAGAUGUUGGGUUAAGUCCCGCAACGAGCGCAACCCUUGUUUACAGUUACUAACGUAUCAUGGCGAGGACUCUGUAGAGACUGCCGGGGACAACUCGGAGGAAGGUGGGGAUGACGUCAAAUCAUCAUGCCCCUUAUGACCUGGGCUACACACGUGCUACAAUGGCCGUCACAAA